GAUGAACGCUGGCGGCGUGCCUAAUACAUGCAAGUCGAGCGAACAGAUGAGGAGCUUGCUCCUCUGACGUUAGCGGCGGACGGGUGAGUAACACGUGGAUAACCUACCUAUAAGACUGGGAUAACUUCGGGAAACUGGAGCUAAUACCGGAUAAUAUAUUGAACCGCAUGGUUCAAUAGUGAAAGACGGUUUUGCUGUCACUUAUAGAUGGAUCCGCGCCGCAUUAGCUAGUUGGUAAGGUAACGGCUUACCAAGGCAACGAUGCGUAGCCGACCUGAGAGGGUGAUCGGCCACACUGGAACUGAGACACGGUCCAGACUCCUACGGGAGGCAGCAGUAGGGAAUCUUCCGCAAAGGGCGAAAGCCUGACGGAGCAACGCCGCGUGAGUGAUGAAGGUCUUCGGAUCGUAAAACUCUGUUAUUAGGGAAGAACAAAUGUGUAAGUAACUAUGCACGUCUUGACGGUACCUAAUCAGAAAGCCACGGCUAACUACGUG
This 497-nucleotide ribosomal RNA is filed under the name uncultured bacterium. RNAcentral's name for it is "partial 16S ribosomal RNA". It matches the Rfam family "Bacterial small subunit ribosomal RNA", at positions 28 to 507 of the family's 1533-position model. The record is from RNAcentral.